This 605-nucleotide long non-coding RNA is filed under the name Olea europaea subsp. europaea. The record is from RNAcentral. Lineage: Eukaryota; Viridiplantae; Streptophyta; Magnoliopsida; Lamiales; Oleaceae.
AAGAUGCUUGCUUAGUCGUUCAAAUUUUGUUUUCUCAAGUGUGUAUUUCUUCCCAGGUUAUGUUGCCGGAAUCUAUCGCCAUUGUCAUGGCCCCAAGAGACACUUCCAAGUAAUAUUCUUUUUAUGUUUUUUCUCAUCUUGAACUUUAACAGCGUUAUUUAUUUAUGUAUCAAAGACUUAACAUCACCUGUGCAGUAAACAUGGUAUAUUCCGAUUGACUCCAGGUGGCACGACAGUCGUGAGGCUAUGCCCAAAACGCGGGUUUCAUCCACACAAACCUCCUUCCGAUGGUAGUCCAAUAUACAAUCAUUGUACAGAUGUUUAUAUGAAUCCUACCUUGAAGGUUGACAUCAUUGAUCUACGGUGAUCUCAAUUACACAUACAGAUUUAUUUGCAAGCUUAUUUGCUUAUUCAUGACAUGAAUAUGAUUUUUAUCUCUGCCUUGUACUUGAACAAUGAGAAGUUUCACAGGAAAUAAAAGAAAAUUGUACCGUGAGAUGACAAUUCUUGUUCAUGGAUAAAGGAAAAGAUCUGAAUGGAUAUGAUUGUAUUGUUUGUACCAGUUAACUUUUCUCUAUUGCAAUUAUUUUUGCUGUUGUUUUGGC